GUGUUUCAAAAUAUGAAGAUUAAACAAAAUAUAUUGAUGUGAUAAUAAUUGAAGGAAAGGUUAGUGACAAAUAGGAUGUUCUUGUUAUAGCAAAAGGGUAGAAAAAGUUGAGCAAUAAUGUGUUUCCCGAACACACUCGAAAGUAUACCAAACAACAAGUAUUCAAGAUGGAUCCACUCAAAUAUAGGUCUCGGUAAUGAAUCAGGGACCUAUAAAGGAUUAAACAGAUCCGAACUUCGGCCUGAGAAG
RNAcentral lists this long non-coding RNA (249 nucleotides) under Carica papaya (papaya). Its description in RNAcentral is "long non-coding RNA (CPAP_LNC003644)". Lineage: Eukaryota; Viridiplantae; Streptophyta; Magnoliopsida; Brassicales; Caricaceae. The record is from RNAcentral.